GAGCUGUGACGAGAUACGUGCACACGUGAAUCGAGGGGUUCGUUCACAACCGUCUGAUUAGCCAGAUGAAACUAGCACAUCUGAGCUC
Ananas comosus (pineapple) is the source of this 88-nucleotide small nucleolar RNA. It matches the Rfam family "small nucleolar RNA snoR114". The record is from Rfam. Lineage: Eukaryota; Viridiplantae; Streptophyta; Magnoliopsida; Poales; Bromeliaceae.